GCACCCAGAGGUGCCGGAGGAGGCUGUGGGAAGCUCAGUCUAAUAUCAGAGACAGAAAUGUGUGAAGUGAUUUGUACUGUAGAAUAUUGGACAUGGAAUGGCAUCAAUGGGAGAAAAAUAAGUAGAUUGGAAGUUUUUUACCUCCAGACUAAAAAAUUGUGAAGAAUGUCAUUCAGAAAUGUGACAUUGCAGCUGCACAGGGAUUUGGGAUGAUGACUUGCAAGGAUUGCCUCUGGACUAGUGGUUACUCUUUGGUAACAUUUAAAAAGACAAUUUCUUAAUGUCCGGCACAGUGAACUUCAUCUCCGUUAUGAACAAGGAAAAGCUGAUCACUGAUGGGAAAAUCACAGGUGCUGAGAUACACCUACAUCAGUCAUGAAAAUUUGAGACUGCAAGAGAGCCAAGAUUUUACCCACAUGGAUUCUGAAGUUGAUGAUGACUGUGGAUAACAUCAGGUAAAUUAAAUGAGCAGGAAUCAAGGAAGGUUACAGAUAAAUGCACAAUGUGUCUGAGGGAAUUCUAAGUUUUAUGUCACUAUACAUUGCUCCAAGAUAGCAUUCAACUUGUUUGACUUAAACCCCUUACAUUUUCUUAUUCUGAGGCCUCCAUUCUAUACUUAAAUUGGUUUAUAAUGGUACAGAGAUCUGUUGCAAAGAUUAAUAUCAGAGGCAUAACAAAGUUAGUGCAGGAAUUAUCCAUUGUAUUAUUAAUUUAAUAACUUGAAAGCAAACAUUAUUAAUCAACAAAUGCUUGUUUUGAACUCAGCUGUGACCAGCUUCAUAGGCUUAAUAUUGACAAACCCUUAUUCAAUUGUUUAAAAGGAAGAAUUUGCUCCUCCUCCCCCAAGUAUUUCCACUGUUCAUUAUCUCAAUGGGAAUGAGUUUUUGAUUAGAUUAACAAUUCUGUUUAUUCCUGAGAAGUUUGUAAAGA
This 930-nucleotide long non-coding RNA is filed under the name Taeniopygia guttata (zebra finch). RNAcentral describes it as "lncRNA (ENSTGUG00000027838.1)". The record is from RNAcentral. Lineage: Eukaryota; Metazoa; Chordata; Aves; Passeriformes; Estrildidae.